Molecule: microRNA precursor, 97 nt
Organism: Laticauda laticaudata (blue-ringed sea krait)
Lineage: Eukaryota; Metazoa; Chordata; Lepidosauria; Squamata; Elapidae
Source: Ensembl
GGAGGAGAAAUUGCCAAGGAAUGACACGAUCACUCCCGCUGAGCGAGUGGACACAGAGCCACGGGGCUGUCGUGUCUGUCCUGAGCUUUUUCCAAGA